Molecule: ribosomal RNA, 800 nt
Filed under: Staphylococcus saprophyticus
Lineage: Bacteria; Bacillati; Bacillota; Bacilli; Caryophanales; Staphylococcaceae
Description: bacterial SSU rRNA
Rfam family: Bacterial small subunit ribosomal RNA
Source: RNAcentral
GCAGUGGGGCGUGCUAUACAUGCAGUCGAGCGAACAGAUAAGGAGCUUGCUCCUUUGACGUUAGCGGCGGACGGGUGAGUAACACGUGGGUAACCUACCUAUAAGACUGGGAUAACUUCGGGAAACCGGAGCUAAUACCGGAUAACAUUUGGAACCGCAUGGUUCUAAAGUGAAAGAUGGUUUUGCUAUCACUUAUAGAUGGACCCGCGCCGUAUUAGCUAGUUGGUAAGGUAACGGCUUACCAAGGCGACGAUACGUAGCCGACCUGAGAGGGUGAUCGGCCACACUGGAACUGAGACACGGUCCAGACUCCUACGGGAGGCAGCAGUAGGGAAUCUUCCGCAAUGGGCGAAAGCCUGACGGAGCAACGCCGCGUGAGUGAUGAAGGGUUUCGGCUCGUAAAACUCUGUUAUUAGGGAAGAACAAAUGUGUAAGUAACUGUGCACGUCUUGACGGUACCUAAUCAGAAAGCCACGGCUAACUACGUGCCAGCAGCCGCGGUAAUACGUAGGUGGCAAGCGUUAUCCGGAAUUAUUGGGCGUAAAGCGCGCGUAGGCGGUUUCUUAAGUCUGAUGUGAAAGCCCACGGCUCAACCGUGGAGGGUCAUUGGAAACUGGGAAACUUGAGUGCAGAAGAGGAAAGUGGAAUUCCAUGUGUAGCGGUGAAAUGCGCAGAGAUAUGGAGGAACACCAGUGGCGAAGGCGACUUUCUGGUCUGUAACUGACGCUGAUGUGCGAAAGCGUGGGGAUCAAACAGGAUUAGAUACCCUGGUAGUCCACGCCGUAAACGAUGAGUGCUAA